RNAcentral lists this ribosomal RNA (513 nucleotides) under uncultured bacterium. Its description in RNAcentral is "partial 16S ribosomal RNA". It matches the Rfam family "Bacterial small subunit ribosomal RNA", at positions 28 to 523 of the family's 1533-position model. The record is from RNAcentral.
GACGAACGCUGGCGGCAUGCCUAAUACAUGCAAGUCGAGCGAACAGAUGAAGUGCUUGCACUUCUGACGUUAGCGGCGAACGGGUGAGUAACACGUAAGGAAUCUACCUAUAAGCGGGGGAUAACAUUCGGAAACGGGUGCUAAUACCGCAUAAUAUCUUAUUCCGCAUGGAAGAAGAUUGAAAAACGGCUCUGCUGUCACUUAUAGAUGACCUUGCGGUGCAUUAGUUAGUUGGGGGGGUAAUGGCCUACCAAGCCGAUGAUGCAUAGCCGACCUGAGAGGGUGAUCGGCCACAUUGGGACUGAGACACGGCCCAAACUCCUACGGGAGGCAGCAGUAGGGAAUCUUCCGCAAUGGGCGAAAGCCUGACGGAGCAAUGCCGCGUGAGUGAAGAAGGCCUUCGGGUCGUAAAACUCUGUUAUAAGAGAAGAACAAAUUGUAGAGUAACUGCUACAGUCUUGACGGUAUCUUAUCAGAAAGCCACGGCUAACUACGUGCCAGCAGCCGCCGUAA